GUGAAUCAUCGAAUCUUUGAACGCACAUUGCGCUCUCCGGUACUCCGGUGAGCAUGCCCGUUUCAGAAUCAGCUAAAAUCCUCACCAGACAAUGGGUUUCCCAAUGUGUGGUGGACUUUGGACGAGCUGUCGCUUUGCUGGCAACCAUUCCGGCAAAAGCGACUCGUCCCAAACGCAUUGGAAUAUGCUCGGGCCAAUCGUCUCUUCACGGAGAUGAUUGAAUCCUUUGCAAAGCAGCAACAAAAGCCUUCAAUGGUUUGGAAACUACUCUUUGUUCAAAGUGUGUCUGAUGCAACGUUC
This 300-nucleotide unclassified non-coding RNA is filed under the name uncultured fungus. Its description in RNAcentral is "sequence contains 5.8S rRNA gene, ITS2". The stretch from base 1 to 71 matches the Rfam family "5.8S ribosomal RNA", at positions 84 to 154 of the family's 154-position model. The record is from RNAcentral. Lineage: Eukaryota; Fungi.